Molecule: non-coding RNA, 1106 nt
Organism: Nothobranchius furzeri (turquoise killifish)
Lineage: Eukaryota; Metazoa; Chordata; Actinopteri; Cyprinodontiformes; Nothobranchiidae
Source: RefSeq, a predicted model, not a curated record
GUUACUGUUUGGCUGUUAGUGUUAUUAGGAAAGUAGUUCAGGUUUAGUGCUCCAUAUCGUGUUAGUAUGGUGAGAAGGUGUAGUGUAGUGUGGUUGUGGUGGCUCUGUGGAGUUGUACUCCUUUCCGCUGGACUUAGAAAUUAGGCGCCAGUGGUUGCGUGUCUGGAAAAGAUUCAGCUCCUGCCGGGUGCUGUAGUUUGCAACCAGCAUUUUACCCGCGAUUCUGCACGUCUCCGUUCCAAGAGGGAGGCUGUGCCCACCGUGGCUCUUCCGCGAUUUAGAUGCAGCCCACCGACUCUGCUCCCCCACCAUGACGGGCUCCAGUCUGAGGCUAAAUCUACCCAAGACACUGGCUGUCAGACUGAUUUAGUAAUCUGCAAGAAUGCACUUGUCCAGGCUGACGUGAAGCGUUACCCGUAGCAAAGGUGAAUUAUUUUUAAUAAUCUUCUAUGUAAACAUUUUAUUACCUUCUAGUUUUAAUUUGUUUUACAGAUUGUUACACGCGAUUUUAUGCUCUUUUAAACAUUUAUAAAUGUGCUGCUUCUUUGUUUUUUAUAGAGCUCACAGCCUCAAUGUCUUGUGACACAGGGACCAUGACGGAAAUUCAUCUUCCAGAAGGUCCCAGAGCAUCCACACCCCCUGAAAAGACCAAGAUGUGAGGUGUCUGCUGUUGAUUCCAGCUUCCACCUCAGUGACAAUGCAAGCUCAGUGAACUGUUCAAGGUAAAAAAAAAUUAAAACAUUUCUGAAUUUUUACGAUAUUAACAAUUAAAUAAGUAUGUGAUUACAUCAUGACGGAGGCUACUGAUUCUGGCCCUGUGACACUUGGUGGUGACGUGUGAGCUGAUUCACCAGGACACUCAGCAAAAUAUGGACUCUACAUCAUGAGGCAGGCACACGUUAAUACUCUAUAAGAGCACAUAAGGUGAGCAACACCACAUAUUAUUUUAUUACUGUACACUGUCCUGGAUUUGUUUUCUUUCUGCAUCUCAUCAUUAGCCUGGCUGAUCACCUGAUAACUCCUGUCAUCUGGUUGUGACAGCAUGAGGAUGUCCUCACACACCUGUAACCUAUUAGCUCAUCUGGCAGAAUAGAGAGAGGAGACAA